This 622-nucleotide long non-coding RNA is filed under the name Homo sapiens (human). Its description in RNAcentral is "long non-coding RNA NONHSAT155789.1". The record is from RNAcentral. Lineage: Eukaryota; Metazoa; Chordata; Mammalia; Primates; Hominidae.
GUGAAAAUCUGCCUUCUCACCAUGAGGCUUCUAGUCCUUUCCAGCCUGCUCUGUAUCCUGCUUCUCUGCUUCUCCAUCUUCUCCACAGAAGGGAAGAGGCGUCCUGCCAAGGCCUGGUCAGGCAGGAGAACCAGGCUCUGCUGCCACCGAGUCCCUAGCCCCAACUCAACAAACCUGAAAGCCUUCACAGCAGUGAGCUGCAAUGUUGGAGGGCUUCAUCUCGGGCUGCAAGGACCCUGGGAAAGUUCCAGAACUCCACGUCCUUGUCUCAAUUGUGCCAUCAACUUUCAGAGCUAUCAUGAGCCAACCUCACCCCACAGGGCCUCAGUCGCCACCAUGUGGGCCUCUCCAGUGCAAACCACCGAGCAUUCCACCAUGACCGGUCACAGCUACAAAUCCAGAGACCAUCAAUCCUGCUAGAGUGCAGGGUGGCAAGCACCCAAGGGUGGCUGACCAAGACUGCAGAGUCUCCUCCAUCUUCAGGUCCAUUCAGCCUCCUGGCAUUUAACUACCAGCAUCCAGUGGUCCCCAAGGAAUCCCUUCCUAGCCUCCUGACAUGAGUCUGCUGGAAAGAGCAUCCAAACAAACAAGUAAUAAAUAAAUAAAUAAACUCAAUGCAGAC